Long non-coding RNA from Puntigrus tetrazona (Sumatra barb), 1227 nucleotides. RefSeq lists it as uncharacterized. The transcript is spliced from 8 exons. NCBI's taxonomy places the organism in Eukaryota, Metazoa, Chordata, Actinopteri, Cypriniformes, Cyprinidae. The record is from RefSeq and is a predicted model, not a curated record.
AUGUAAGUUAUCAGACGUUAGUGAGUUUGUGUCAGCUUUUGCAAAUUAUAGGAUCUGGAAACCAGUGAAGGUUUGAAUUCUCCCAGCGUUGAUUGUACCUCCAGAAAGGAAAGAAUCAGAUUUGGAGACCAGCGGAGGUUUGACCUCUACCAGCUAAACGUGGGCUUCAACAUCUGAAGAGAGGGAGAUGAUCGAUCUGCUGGCUGAACUUCAGGCCGCGACAGUUCUCAAAGACAGCCUUUUACUGAAGACAUCCCAUCACGGUUUUCCCAAUUUAGGGAUUUAUACUACAUGUGCUCCUUUCAUGUAAGAUGUAUUCCCAUCAGGAGCGGUGGAAUGAGGGAAGCACAAUGCUCAGGGCACUUACUAACCUGCACAUGGUCAGGCUGACAGGCUACAGCAAGAAUCUGAAUGCUAAGCUCUUGUCUACGUUGAAGACCUGCAUUGAAUCUCUCAAUCCUGAUGUCUUGGGAGACCAUCAGCAAAUGAGGGCGAGUUCCAGCUUCGCCGACUCCACAUUUGCAACAGCUGUGGCUGUGUGAGGAGCUUCAGAGAGGACUCCAACUACCUCUCACUGAUCAGUCCUCAAAGAAUCCUCACUGACAACCUGCGGCAAUACUUCAAAGCAUCUUCAUUUGAAUGCUCCUGCAGUGAGUGUCUCAUCUGGGCAGCAGUUAGUAUUGUGUGACACCAGUAUCAAAAGAACCAGAUGGUCAAAAGCAUCAAGUAACAUGGCCAUGAACGGAUACAUGCUCUUCCAUGUGAAGAGCUCAGCUGCAGCAUGUUGAUGCUGUUUUAUAGAGGAAAGGAACAACUUCCAAAGUCAAAAAUUGGACUAGAGAAGAUGCUUCCGUGGUUUCUCCAGUCUCCAAGAACUCAUCCGCCUUCCACGAUUAGUACUGGAAUCUGGAACCUUUUUAAAAUAGCGAGACACUUUAUAAAGGAGGACAAGUGACAUUUCAAAAGUUUCAUAACACGGGAAUCUUCUUGCGCAACAAUAAUAGUCCAAAAGAAUGGAUCGGUUUCAUUCAAAGUCAAGCCAAAAGCUAAAUGUGGCUAUAAACGUUAUAUGCACUGUGUCCACUGCAAGUGGAUGUUUUUGUGGAGUUGUGGAGACAUAUGAAGAGAUGCUCAUCUAAACCAAUCAACACCAUGGCAGGAAGUGAGUUCUUGACCUUGCAGCACUGGUAACAUCUGCAGGCUCUAGAACUGAAGAUGGCAUGCUUA